RNAcentral lists this ribosomal RNA (492 nucleotides) under uncultured bacterium. RNAcentral describes it as "SSU rRNA". It matches the Rfam family "Bacterial small subunit ribosomal RNA", at positions 26 to 523 of the family's 1533-position model. The record is from RNAcentral.
AGGACGAACGCUGGCGGCGUGCUUAACACAUGCAAGUGGAGCGACGAACCGGGGCUUGCCCCGGGGCAGAGCCGCGAACGGGUGAGUAACACGUGGGUUACCUGCCCCAAUGACCGGGACAACCCGAGGAAACUCGAGCUAAUACCGGAUGUGGUCUUCGGACGAAAGGAAGCUUCGGCCUCCGCAUUGGGAUGGGCCCGCGGCGCAUUAGCUUGUUGGUGGGGUAACGGCCUACCAAGGCGACGAUGCGUAGCUGGUCUGAGAGGACGAUCAGCCACACUGGGACUGAGACACGGCCCAGACUCCUACGGGAGGCAGCAGUGGGGAAUCUUGCGCAAUGCGCGAAAGCGUGACGCAGCAACGCCGCGUGGGGGAAGAAGGCCUUCGGUUGUAACCUCUUUCAGUUGGACGAAGCCGCGCGGGUUAAUAGCCCGUCGUGGUGCGGUACCUUCAGAAGAAGCCCGGCUAACUACGUGCCAGUAGCCGCGGUAA